RNAcentral lists this ribosomal RNA (1036 nucleotides) under Escherichia coli. Its description in RNAcentral is "partial 23S ribosomal RNA". It matches the Rfam family "Bacterial large subunit ribosomal RNA", at positions 711 to 1746 of the family's 2925-position model. The record is from RNAcentral. Lineage: Bacteria; Pseudomonadati; Pseudomonadota; Gammaproteobacteria; Enterobacterales; Enterobacteriaceae.
AGACCCGAAACCCGGUGAUCUAGCCAUGGGCAGGUUGAAGGUUGGGUAACACUAACUGGAGGACCGAACCGACUAAUGUUGAAAAAUUAGCGGAUGACUUGUGGCUGGGGGUGAAAGGCCAAUCAAACCGGGAGAUAGCUGGUUCUCCCCGAAAGCUAUUUAGGUAGCGCCUCGUGAAUUCAUCUCCGGGGGUAGAGCACUGUUUCGGCAAGGGGGUCAUCCCGACUUACCAACCCGAUGCAAACUGCGAAUACCGGAGAAUGUUAUCACGGGAGACACACGGCGGGUGCUAACGUCCGUCGUGAAGAGGGAAACAACCCAGACCGCCAGCUAAGGUCCCAAAGUCAUGGUUAAGUGGGAAACGAUGUGGGAAGGCCCAGACAGCCAGGAUGUUGGCUUAGAAGCAGCCAUCAUUUAAAGAAAGCGUAAUAGCUCACUGGUCGAGUCGGCCUGCGCGGAAGAUGUAACGGGGCUAAACCAUGCACCGAAGCUGCGGCAGCGACGCUUAUGCGUUGUUGGGUAGGGGAGCGUUCUGUAAGCCUGCGAAGGUGUGCUGUGAGGCAUGCUGGAGGUAUCAGAAGUGCGAAUGCUGACAUAAGUAACGAUAAAGCGGGUGAAAAGCCCGCUCGCCGGAAGACCAAGGGUUCCUGUCCAACGUUAAUCGGGGCAGGGUGAGUCGACCCCUAAGGCGAGGCCGAAAGGCGUAGUCGAUGGGAAACAGGUUAAUAUUCCUGUACUUGGUGUUACUGCGAAGGGGGGACGGAGAAGGCUAUGUUGGCCGGGCGACGGUUGUCCCGGUUUAAGCGUGUAGGCUGGUUUUCCAGGCAAAUCCGGAAAAUCAAGGCUGAGGCGUGAUGACGAGGCACUACGGUGCUGAAGCAACAAAUGCCCUGCUUCCAGGAAAAGCCUCUAAGCAUCAGGUAACAUCAAAUCGUACCCCAAACCGACACAGGUGGUCAGGUAGAGAAUACCAAGGCGCUUGAGAGAACUCGGGUGAAGGAACUAGGCAAAAUGGUGCCGUAACUUCGGGAGAAGG